UACGGAGGUGGCAAGCGUUGCUCGGAAUCACUGGGCGUAAAGCGCACGUAGGCGGCUUACUAAGUCAGGGGUGAAAUCCUGGAGCUCAACUCCAGAACUGCCUUUGAUACUGGUGAGCUUGAGUCCGGAAGAGGUGAGUGGAACUGCGAGUGUAGAGGUGAAAUUCGUAGAUAUUCGCAAGAACACCAGUGGCGAAGGCGGCUCACUGGUCCGGUACUGACGCUGAGGUGCGAAAGCGUGGGGAGCGAACAGG
RNAcentral lists this ribosomal RNA (253 nucleotides) under uncultured bacterium. RNAcentral describes it as "partial 16S ribosomal RNA". It matches the Rfam family "Bacterial small subunit ribosomal RNA", at positions 524 to 776 of the family's 1533-position model. The record is from RNAcentral.